This 134-nucleotide ribosomal RNA is filed under the name Caenis horaria. RNAcentral's name for it is "partial 28S ribosomal RNA". Lineage: Eukaryota; Metazoa; Arthropoda; Insecta; Ephemeroptera; Caenidae. The record is from RNAcentral.
GGCGCAUUGAACGAAAAGGCCGUCCUCGCGGCGGCUGAKGGAGGAUGAAGUGGGCCUCGUGCCUGCUUCCGCACUCCCGGGGCAUCUCGUCAUACUUCCGCUAGUCGGUCGAAUGUGAGGUGCACCAAGAGCAA